Molecule: long non-coding RNA, 6808 nt
Organism: Bombus pyrosoma
Lineage: Eukaryota; Metazoa; Arthropoda; Insecta; Hymenoptera; Apidae
Exons: 3
Source: RefSeq, a predicted model, not a curated record
AAACCAGUUCUGGUGUAAGAAAAUGGAAAACAUUGUUUUCUUUCGAAUUAUACGGCUGAUGGCAAUGGGAAACCACAGAUCACUACGCAAAAGCUAGCGAAAAAUAAAUGCAGUUAAAAAGUGUAACGUGGAAGAGGAGAAACGCGCGUACGAAGGACAUAAGCGAGUACCAGAUCACUCGUAUAGCAACGUUUGCAGAUAAUCUUCAAGUACAGCGCGUGUUCCCCUUGAAAAUUCACCAAAUAAAAUCCAGCGGCUGCCGCAUGCCAGCGGCUAGCUUUGGAUGACAGGACGCGAGAUCUUUGCCAACAGCUUUAACUUUGUAAACGAUGCGACGAUUGGAAAUAAAAUUGUUGGGAAGCCUGGCCGAUCUGUGUCUUCAGUUUCUACCGAAGCCGCAGUUUCAAUUCAACGCUUCUGUCCUAUUUUGCUUCGUAUCGUGGAAUAACGUCACGGAAAUUUCAUCUUUACCGUGUGUAUACGUAUGAAGAAUCUUCUCAAGACAGAGUUCAACCGCUUCAAGGGACACAUAUAACGAAUGGAUUUUUCCUCAAGGUCAUCUCUUCACGAAAUUUCAAGACAUUUUUAUUUCCCACGCAAAGAUAUUCAAGUAUUUGUGUCUGAAAAUACCUGGUUGAAAUUUUUAUAUUUUAAUCCUAAUUUUAUAACGCUUUCGGGUCGUGUGAAAGACAAAGAAAGAGGCAAAAUGACGCUCUUACGUUUCUGUUUUCUCUUCUUGUCUCUGUUCUCUUCCUUUCGUAUGCUACAUUUCAAUUAAAAUCGAAAUAUCUUUUAAAUUCCUCAUUUCCUAACAUAAAUACUUGAAUACUUUUGCACGGACAAUACAAAAUUACAUUCAUGGUGUGAGAAAGAUAUAUAGAGUUCUAUUUAGGAAAUACCGAUGACCUUGAAAUCUUCUUUCUUAAAGAGAAGAAGAGAAAGAGAAGAAAAGAAAAAAGACGAAGCUGAGAAAAGAUUCUUUCCACCGUUACACGAGUCCGUUCAUAUGAUUUAACUUCGUCUUGAAAAGCUUUUUCGUAUGAUCGUAGAUAACGCAGGUAUUCAGGUAUUCGUUUAGCCGAGACACCAGGUAUAUUAGAUUAUAGAUUUUACAAACGCGCCUACAAACAUGUAAUUCGAUCUCUCCGUACAAUUUUUCCACUUUCCCAUUUCCACGGAUUUCUUUCUCUGAUUACUAGUUCGUUAUUACGAUCAACCCAUUAGAUAACUUUAAAGAAGUUGUACUGAUAGCUGUUUAGGAAUGACAAAGAGUAACAGAGAGACGGCGAACAAACGAGCAAAAGGGUAAAAGAGGAAAAGAGCGCGAGAAACGAAUGAGUUACCUUCGAUCGAGGUCAUGGUCGUGUCUAGGGUUCUUAUUCAAUGCCAUGGUUAAGUGUCGUUACUAUUAUCUAGCACGUGACAAUCUAGACGAUAACACAUAAUUUAUGGCUUAACCAUGAAAAUAAAGAAAUCAGAUCUAUCGAAACGAAACAAAGAGCGUGGAGUCGGUCGAUCGUGGCGAUACGGUAUUUUUAGUUGUUCCUCGAAGAUGCAGACACUAGUUGCAAUUUUAUGUUCGUUGCGAGCCAAAGAUAGCGAGAGUGAAUGGGUUUGGCAUUCGUGCUACAAGUGAUUUUGUUCACGAUAUUCGAAUCGAUCGAUAAUUUUCCGAACAACUGAAACGAGGUUCUCUCUCGCUUUUCUUUUUCUAUCUUUCGUCUACUGUUACUUUCCUUGCGACUGCACUACGGAUUUCUGUGUGCUUAUGCGAAAUUUACAGGAUGCACUGAUACGCGGAAUACAUAUAACGUACAGAAUGCAAAAAUAUACAAAAUAUUGAAGUAUGUGAAUGUUUGAGAAGUUUCAAUGUACAAAAGUAUACAGAAUACAUACAAUACACAAAUAUAUAUAUUUAAAGUAUAAAAGACAUAAAAAGUAUACGAAUUUAUGGGAAGUUUAAAUGUAGGAAAAUAUACAGAAUGCACGUGACAGUACACCUUUUAAUAUUUAAUAGAUGAAACACAUUUCAUAAACAUGACUUUGAAUAAAUAUUUGCAGUCUACUCAUCGCGUUAACAUAGCAUGUACAUAAAUAACAUAGCAUAUAAAAAUUUUUUGGCUAGUUUUAUAGUUGUGAGACGUAACGUAGGCGUGUAUAUUUUUCUAUUUAGGAAUAAAAGGAAAGAAGUUGGUAUUUACGUUUAAAAAAAUGUCUUCAAGUAAAUCUCCAGCCCCGGAGAUAAGGCGAAGGGAAGCAAGAUUAAGUUUGUUCAAGGACAAGCGGAAUCUCUCUUGGCAACAUACUGAAACCAGCUGACAUUCUAAAUGUCCAAACGUUCACGACUCACAGUCUGGCGCAGUUUGCUCUGACCCAUCCUUUUAUGCCCCCCCCCCCCCGCCACGCACACAGACGUACGCACGUGGGUACACUCCCUCUUUCUCUCCACACGCUCUCUUAAGUGAUAACGACGAAAAUUCUUCAUUACCAAAACAGUUUCCUUCGACUUGUCAAUGUUGAGAGUGAAUUUUGAGACGGGUUAUCAGCUGCCUCGGAGAAUAACGAAUGAUACGGAUAAGUAACGAACGAUUUUUCAAAUGCUUUUUUCUCAAUUUGUCAACAGUGGCUGGAAAUAUGUACGUUGAUUAUUGAGAAACGAGAGAAAAGAAAGAAAAAGAAAAGAAAAACAGCGGAUUUAUCAUGUAACUGAUUGUGAGAGGAUACAGUGACAGGUAGAGAGCUGAGAGCGAGCAAGCGAAAUGCUAUACCGGUUUUUGGUUGCUAUCGUGCGACGCGACGUAGAAUUUAAUUUUAUAGAGUAAGGUGUUUUGAGUUAAUUUGAGUUAAUUGCCGUAUCUACACAGCAGUUGUUAACUGGCUCAUUCUUCGCUUACAAGCUUAUAUAAUUAGGAAAUUAAAAAUUAAUAUAGCAAAUUAUUAAUCCCAAUUACAUUUAGUCCUUGCAGAUGUAAAUAUGAGAUAACUUUUUAACGAAAUCUUUGACAGAAAUAAAAGGACAAGUAAAGGGAUAAAUCAUGAAAUAAAAAUAUAUAGAUAGAAUUUUUAAAUAAAGGCAUGGCAAUGUCGAACCUCAUAUAUCCAAAAUAUUUUAACUCGUAGCUGGAACGCUCUCUUCUAUUUGCAUUAUUCACCGAGUAUGGAAACUUUCGUCAGAUGUUUCUGACCGCCCGGUAGAUCGAUCUCGAGGCAUUGGCAAAUGCCACAUGUAUCAUCAGUGAGCCCCUGCAUGCUGGCAGAGUGCAAUGACGUAGGUAUAAUUAGAAAUAUCGAUGAUAACAGUUAUAGCACAGUUUCCAUGAAAAACGUGCAGUCAUCGAGCUGGUGGCUCAGAGAAAGAGAGAGAGAGAGAAACUCAUCGAUUAAAAUAUUUUUUGUAACUUUGAAAUAGCAAAAGAUGAAGAACAAAAGGGAGGAAUCAAAGAAGGGAGGUAAAUGAAGGGAAAAUAUCGCGUAAAAUAAAGAGGAAAGGAAAGAGGAGAGGGUGAAAAAAAGUGAUAGUCCGGCAAUUUCUAUUGGGUGGAAAGUCUCACUGAGAACGCAGCUCGACGACCAUGAUAUAAAUUCCCGCUUUGGUAGGGAUGGCAUUUGGUCGACUACGGAGGGUUGCUAGACAGACCAACAGCAGACGGGAGUAACGAUUGCCACCACCCCUGGUUCGAGUCGAGCUAGUCACCCCUUCCGUGUCCUUCCGGCUUCCCACGCGUCCCUGCUCUGAACCCAACCCGUCCAGCGAGCCGGCCGCUUACUAACCAAACUGAAAACAUCCCCUCGUUGGUCAAUCGCCUUUGCUACCCCAUGCUGUUUUUCUCCCAACCAUUUUUUUCAACGGUUACACGCUACGUCGUUCUGUUCGAGCGAUACCCAGCUUCUAUAUGGAGCGAAAAGGUCGAGACUGGAAAGAUGCCUGACUGAGGAUCUACCGGAAAGUUAAGCGACGCCAAGCUAUGCUACGUUUGCUAUAUUUGUUUCAGUACAUAUUAUGUACACCGAACCGUUUCCACCGAAAGCUAAGCUUCUACUAUGUUUCAGCUUCUGGUCGACACGCUUCGGUAUAUGCGUAUGCAUGCGUAUGUAUGGAAGGAAAUAUUUUGAAACUUACGAUUAGUACAGUACUUAAGCGUAGCUUAGCUCAAUUUCCCGACGGAUCCCACGCUUUAAAGAAGGAAAGCUGAAUAAAGGAUAAGCGUUAUCUGGUUCGCAUGCGCGGAAGCUCUUUUUCAGAGCAUCGAUACCGCGACGUUCUAUAAAUAAAUAACCGGCGGUGAUAAGGCGGACUGGAGGCACAGGGUUGCGCACAUCCAUGUUAUUUUCGCUUUCUCUCGCUGUGUUCAGUGUUGACUCUAUUCGAUGUACACAAAAAUAGAAGAAACGCUGUAUAUGUAUAAAUUCGGAUAAAUUCAGAAGAUGCUGUCGUAAGCAGGAUGACGUAGAAUACUCUUUGAUUCUAUUUAGCGUAAAAAAAACAGACUAAGACAUGGGUCGUUGACUCGAGUUGGUAAUGUUGGAUGAGUAACAUUCGAAGAAGGAGAAAAUGCAGUUCGGUCGACGCUAUCUCCGCAUGGAUGAGUAUUGAUCCGUGACGCGCCCGUUUUCUCUAUCGGCACAACCAAAUUCAUGUUGCUUACAGCGAAUUUACUCGUACAUAAUUUAGACGUAUCCAUCGUAGGACCGACUAUACAGCAUCGAUUCAUACAUUCGUUCGUAUAAAACGUGUAUGGUCGCUGAUAAAGUGUCUCCUCUAUAGAACCUCGUACGAACGUGGAGGCAAUGAAAUCGGAAACAGCAUUGGAAGAUGGAACGUCGCGCGCCGCGAGAAACAAGUGAACAUUUUCUUCUAUAUGCGUAGUUGAAUCAAUAACGUGAACGACUGGUGGAAGGACGUGGGAUGUAUUGUUCGUACUAGGAGAUAUUUCAACGUGGAAAUCGCGAGCUCCAGCAACGUCGCUAGUUUUCUAGUGAAUCUUUAGCAUUUACCAUUCUUAUUAUACCGGUUCUUCGACUGCCCUAACCGGCCGGCGCAACGUUGCGCUAUUCGAAAAGAGAAGAGCACACACCUUAUCCACGUUACAAGACUCGAGAACAGGUCGACGACUGUGUAUAGUCUAACCUGGACCGAUAUGAUCGAUUCUCGAGUCUCUUUACACUUCGAAACUAUAUGACGAUAUAAGAUAAUGGGGAAGGUUGAUAGGCAUUGAAAUAGAAGGAGUGGAAUGACAUAAAUGUGUUUUAAUGAUAAAAUGAAAAUUGAGUGGCCUCGUGGAAAUGUACAAGCUAGUCUUGCAGCGUGUAACGCGGAGGAGGGAGGCCUUGUUCCUCUAUCCUUCUUGUCUUGUACAUUCAUAUUUUCAAGGUCAGUUGAUUCGUCCCACCUAGUUGCGGAGCUUUCGCCAGAUGGAACCACUGUACAAUCACGACGCGACGAAAUACACGUGGCUUACCGGAAACUAAGCUCCCCAUUGGGAAAGAUAUGACAGCGAUCGAGAAAAGAGAAAGGAAAAAAGAUAGAGAAGAUUGUUUUAAUAAUUCUGGGCAAAAUUUGGAGUCAAUCAGUCAAACUGAACUUGAGAGGUCGUUUUUAAUCGUUUAAGAAAAAUGCAGUUUCAAGAAAAACGAACAUCCUUUUAAAACUUGUACGCUUUUAAAUUCGCGUCCUAUAUAUUGUAUAACAUCUUCAAAUUCCUAUAACUUCGUUCAUUUUACAACUUCGGAAAAGUCCUGUCAUAAACUUAUGCUUUCAGAAAACCUAUACUUUUAAAAAAUGAGAAAAAGAAAUCGAUUGUUUACAAGUUCUAGGUUAGAAUACCCCCAGGAGAGUUUUAUUUAUGUGGCAGGAAUACACAUAUAGCUGUAGCGCUACACAAACCUGUCAAAGCAUCUUCCAAGUAAUAUAGAAAAAAUUAGAUUAAACUAGUAAAGUGUACUAAAGUAAUAAAUCGAUCAUCGGCAGCGUGUUAAUGGCAGUAUAAAAAUGCGAUAACUACAUAUAGAUAUAUCAAAGUAUUAUCGUGAGAAAGAAACUGAUAUUUCAAGAUAAUAAGAUUCAAGUUCCCAGUUUCUUUCUUACAAUAGGAGACAUGAGAAUUAUUAUGAAAAGCAAAUUAUUUAAACAAACCAUGUACAGCAGUAAGAUAGCAAGAAUUAAAUUGGUGACACUCAGUGCCACGAAAGGUCACGCAAGAAGUAAGUCAGAGAAACUAUUGGCGUUGCUUUGAAGAGGUUAUUACAUGGAUUCCGAUAAAUGUGUCAAACCGCUUGAAAACUCGAUGCGAAUGACUUUCGAAAUAACGAUGAUUUACUUUAUACACUCUUAUAUGUAAAUUCGAUCAAUUUAAUUUUGAGGUUAAUUCGAUCGACGUUGACUUCGACUUAUCGAUUAUUGUAACGAUGUCGUCGUCGUAAACGUUAUACCUCUAAGAAUAAAGAUACAAAUGUUUUCGUUUCUAGAAGCGAUAACGAUUUAUCGAAUAAGGGGGAAAUCGAUCGUUACUUCGAAAACCAUGUUCGCAGCAAUACUCGGUUUGUGAAUCUAUUUACAUCACAAAACGUUAUUUUGUGAUCUACCUAACCUUAAUUCAAUCAGAGAAUGAAACAAAUUUCAUUAGAAUACAACGCAAAUUCUUUGAACUCGAUUUAAUGCGAAGUUAGAGAUCAGAAAAUGACGAUCUGUGAAGUAAACAGGAUUCACAGUGAAUCGAGAUAGCUUGGCGACUGACAUCGUAUUUUCUAGAGGCCCGGCCGCGGUGACGUUCACUGCUUCCACGAUCACGGGCUCUUGUAAUAGCGCAAA